UUUAUCAGCUCCGCUACGAGUCUCUUUGUUAUCUCAAUUUGCAACAUUAAAACCCACGUUUAACAAAGGCCAAGAUUUAAAUACAAUGCCGUUAUCUAUUAAAAGUUGAUUUAAAUUGUUGAAUAUUUGAAAAUCAUUUGUCCCUUGAAUUCUAACAAUUCCCUUGUCAAAUUUCAUUAAUUUCUACUUCGGAAGCCAGAUCUUCAUUCUCACUGUUAAAUUUAGAUUAAAAUAAUUGUAAGGCAAAUGAAGACAUUAAAACUAAAUAAUGACAAAUGAAUUAAAUACCUGCAACUGAAUUCUUUAUUUGAGCGUCUUUUUAGAGAAAAAAAAUAGUCAAGACGUAAACAAAUAUUUUCCUUACACCAAAAAAAAGAAAAAUUACAAAAAUGAACGGUAUUUAUCUUUAUAUAAAUAAGAAGAAGAAGAAGAAGAAGAAGAAGAAGAAGAAGAAGAAGAAGAAGAAGAAGAAGAAGAAGAAGAAGAAGAAGACAAUCAGGAACCUGAUGAAAAUGAAGUGUACUCAGAUGCAUCAGCAGAUAAUGAGAUCCAACAAUCUGGCUUGCCUCCCCGAAAUCCAGAAUUAGAAAGCGAUUCAAAAAGAGAUGAGAGUAAUGAAGAAAUAACAAGUAAAUAAGAUGACCAAAAAGACAAGCAACUGAUGAUUGAUUGUUACAACGCAUAAAUUGGAGGAUCAAGGACCUCUGUAUAUCUUAAAGACUCUAGUAAUAAUAACGUCAUGCAGAUGCACAGUUUGUUUCUACCCUUUAUUUUAUAGCCGGUUUAUUCCAAUUAUUAACAUUUUAUAUUUAAAUGUGAAUCCUAUAAUCAUUUUAAUAUCGUUUUAUGUGUAUCCUUUACAAAAACAGCUAUGUUGAUAAUUGUAUUGUUUAAGAAUAUGUUUUCUUUAGUAUAACCAACCAUUAUAUCUUAUCAUCUGUUUGCUUUUUUUUUUUUUUUUUUAUUUGACUAUCAAUGUCGAUUCAUUUUUAUUGAAAUAGAAUAUUGCCAUGAUAAAUAUUUUGGUAAAUAAUGAAUGACAUCUAGCUUUUCUUUUGAUUUUCCUGCAUUGCAUUUUUAAAUCACCUGACUGACUGUCAUCGUCUUCGUCGUUGUCCGUCUUCGUCCGUUAACUUUUACAAAACAUCUUCUCCUCUUGAACUACUCUGUCAAUUCGAACAUAUAACUUCUUUUUGUCAUUGUUUCUAUUUUCUGGCAAUUGCUCUUUCAAUGCGUCUAUAUGAUUACUUUUUAUGUAGUAAGAAAAUGCUACACGAACGCUCUCACCAGGUAUUUUGGAGGAUCAAAUUAUCUCUUUUCUGCGGUCCUAAAAGGGAUCCUUUAUCAAUUCUUACAAAAUCGAGCCUCUGGAUUGAAUCUGAUAUUUUCUUUUUGUAACAAUUCGAUAUUUUAUAAACUUUUUGACAGAUGUCUUAUUUAAAAGUUUAUAAGUUCUUUUGGUGCAUUGUUCAAAGUUGCAGACGCCAUAAGAUCAAGAUAAAUGUGUGUGCCAUAAGGUUAAUAAAGCAAUCUUCGAAGGUACUCUGAUAAUUCUUUAGUACACCACAUUGUAUGUGGAUCAAAUUUAAAGAAUCGAUCAUGUUAAUGAAGUUGUAGGUUCAAAUCAGUCAAGAUUUUACUUCGUCAAAAUUAUCUCCCCAUUACGCCAGUCAAAUUUUACAAUCGUAAAUAUGGAAACCAUUAAAUUUAGCUCCUACAAACCGAUAAAUUUAUCCACAUAGCACCAUAACGUUCCUUAUAUGCCAGUUGUAUUUUAUCUACUAGCUAUUGAGCAUCAUUUAAUGUACUUUUCUGCAUUCAGUCAACUUAAAACUAUUGUCUGGUAAGUUGUCAGGUGGAAUUUUCGAAAGUUCAAAAACGUUUAUAAAAAUUAUAAUUAAAUAUUUCGUGGAAGGGCAGACUAAAACUAAUCAGAGGUUGAAGACUAAUAACCGUAGAUAACAUACACAAAAAUGACGUUUUUCUGAAGUUAUACAUUUUUAAGAUACCUACUCUGUAUUUAUGACUCAUUAGAAAGGUAUUCACUUGACCCAUAUAUUUCAUUUUUUCAGUACUGUGAAUUUUCAAUGUUAUCAAAUCAACUGGUAGCCUAAAUACAUAAAAAUAAUAGAAUCUAAAGCGCGGUGAUGUAUCAAAUAUUUUUUGCUUUAUCCGUUUUCAAGACAGAGUAGUCAACUCAAACACGCCCGAACAUAAAAAGGUGCACUCGACUAUCUCUUUUCCAUGCAAUUAUUGCCCAUUUUGGGGAUUUUUUCCCAAAAAACUAUCGCCGGGGGCAGAGAUGCAAAUCAAUGCUUUAGAAAGAUCAAUCUAUUAUCUUUCUGUGGAUUUUUUUUCGGCGGAAUUUAUGCUUAUGCACAAAAAAGAUCCAUUAGGAUUUGACCCUGCCACAAUCGACUGUUUUAUGAAUUUCGAACAGCGGUAUACUACUGUUGCCUUUAUUUAUGCAAAUGUGUCUAUAAUUUAAAAGUUUACAACUAUCUCGAAGCUCCAUACUAUAAUUCAAGUAAAAACACGUAUAUAAGAUGCAUAAAAUCCUAAAUUAAGCACCUUUAUUAAACUUUUAAAGCCCAUAGAAACCGAUGUAAAUAAUUCAAAUAUACCAAUGUUGCUUGUUUACCUUCUCUAACAAAGAGUUAUAUUUCUUUUGUUUAAUUUCAACUGGGUUUCCGCCUGAAAUAAUAAUGUGCAAAUACAAAACUAUGUACUAUAGUAAGUACUUUUGUCGAUUUAUAAUUUGUUCUACAUUCUUGGUUAAAAUGAUUUAACCAAUCAAACGACUGCGAAAAUAUCUUUGUGUGUUCUUAACUGGGAGUACAAUUUCAUUAAUAAACUUACAAACAAGAUGUGAAUCAAUAGCUCAAGAGAUAACUAUCUACCAAACUGUUGUAUUAUAUAUUUUCAGUCAAAUGCACAAACGAAAUUUUGUAUUGAAUGCGCCCAUUUUUAUGUUCAAAUACCGAUGUUGCGAUCAUUAAUGUGUCAUUAACUAAAGUUCUGAAUACCAAAGUUAAAAUUUGAUGGAUUUGAAUCUUAUUAAUCAAAAUAGAUAUAAAUAUAUAUAGAAAAUUUGACACAGGCAAAAUGUUCAGAAUAUUUAAAUCUAAAGAUCUAAAAAUCCACAUACUUUCUAUUUUUCCCGAAAAUAUUCAGAUUUCUCCUUAUAGAAAUUUUAAAUAUCGAUCGACUCAUUAUGGUAAUUUUCCCUUAAUGUCGAUAUUCUUAUCCACUUUAAAAAUUCUGGCAAUUUUCUUUAUACCUAUAAAAAGAGUGACUGGAAAAUUUAUAGAUGGUAAGCAAAUCUAUAGUUUUCCCAUUAAAUGAUUUUUUUUAAUGAAAACGAUCAGAAAAAGCGGCACAUGGCAGAACGCGUCAAUCUACUCCUUAUACGAGUUCUGCCAUGUUUUAAAAGUCUAAAGCAAUUUUUGUGGUUUUUGGGGUUUAAUAUUUCCUUCAAAACUACAAUAUCCAAAGGGAUACUCUAUUAGAUCAAUUAUUUUUUUUAAUUAACCAUUAUUGUGUUAAAAGUUUAAUGACUAGUUAGUUUGUUUGUUUGUCAAGUUAUGUAUAAUUUAAUUGUAAUAUAUAUAGUUUGCCCUUCAAUGGGUAACGUAUUGACAAAUAAAAUUAUCUCUCUCUGUCUUA
Molecule: long non-coding RNA, 3666 nt
Organism: Mytilus californianus (California mussel)
Lineage: Eukaryota; Metazoa; Mollusca; Bivalvia; Mytilida; Mytilidae
Exons: 2
Source: RefSeq, a predicted model, not a curated record